Gasterosteus aculeatus aculeatus (three-spined stickleback) is the source of this 2067-nucleotide non-coding RNA. Lineage: Eukaryota; Metazoa; Chordata; Actinopteri; Perciformes; Gasterosteidae. The record is from RefSeq and is a predicted model, not a curated record.
CUCAUUAACUUAAUCGUCAUGUGUCCUCGUGAGGCCGGUAGAUGCCAGUAAUUCAGUUGGCCAAGUCCGAGGACAAGCUGACGUCAGAUGUCUUCCUCUGUGAGUCAGGAGCAAAUAUUGCAUUCACACGGGACCAAGAAAUUCAAUAAGGUGUUUGUCACUACAAGGCUUGCUGAGCGCCAACCGGCCGUGUUUGAUGGGUCCGUCUUUACCAAAGCAAUCGUCGGGCUGCAAACAGGCCAAUAAAAUUCACAAUUAUUUCAUUUUGGACAAUAAAGGUUGGUGCUUUAGGCGAGACUAGUAACAGCAAUGAAAUCUGUGAAAUUAAACUGCAGGUUGUUCGGGUGCCUUCGGGAUUAUAUCCCAAAACUGUGCCAAGAAAACAACUGUCCCAAAUUGCUUUUACUCCUCUCCUCGCUCUUCAAGUGCGGCCCAGUCACUGGAAGGUAUGUCAGCCAAUCUCAUCCCGGGCGCGAUUCAAUUAAAGAGAGUACAAAGACACAUGGCUCGGGGCUGUGUGAUAUGAUUAGAGUUCUGUGCACAACGAGGCUGCGGCUUUGAUUCAUGCCCUCUCUUAUCUGGUCGCUUACGGUGACGGACUGCAACAACCGAGCCGAGGAGGGGCUCCCGCAGGUGCGCUGCAGCAUCCUCGGGGGCCUAUAAAAGCUAUCCUAAACCAAUCCUCGGGUCGUACUGUCAUCAUCUAUCAUGCCAAUCUGAAAGCAGGCCGCAGUGACCAAACAGGACAAUGCAGAGGAGCAACUGUACCCCAACCCCCCCCUUCCUCCCUCAUCUUCUAGCCGAGCUGAAUGAAAGACUGGUGAUACGGCUCUCGGGACGGGGAUGUGUCAGAGGAAUGCGCGUGCAGGUAUCCUGCCGCCUGUGGGGACUGCGGAGAAAGGCCCAGCGCGGCGGUUGAUCCCGUUUGAUAAAGGCCCUGACAUGCCCGGGAUUAUAUGUCUCUGCCUGGAGGAGCUGUCUGUGUCUCAUUCCUGCACUGAAGAAAGUCGAUCUGGUGGGAAUGAGGCGGGGCCAUUCCUGUAGGCGGCGGUUUUUUGUAUGCAUGCCAAAACACACCUUGUUGGGACAGGCACCACUAACACCACCCUCACCCAUUACCUGACCACACCCAUGUCUCCAGAUGCCAUAAAUACUACUGCCGCAAAUCAAGAAAUAGAUACUUGCUGCAAGGCAUGUUUGCUUUAAAAUGGCAAUUUCUCAGUCUGGUGCAUUCAUUUACUUUGAUGUACAGGUUGCGUUGUGACAGAACUAAACCAAACCAACUACACUACACAGUUAAAGACAGUGAAAAGGGGGGUUGCAUACUGUGAUACAGACAUUUUCUACUUUUGGAAAUGGAUUUGUCCUGAUCGUAGGGUACAACAUGCAUGUUGUUAAAGGAACGUGAGAAAAACAAUGAGAUACUUUAAUAAAUACCACAUCACAGUAUUCUUCAUGUUAUGUGUUGUCCAGUAACAUUUGUGGUAUUAAGAACACUGCAAUCAAAAGUUUUUUACAAGUCAUUUCUAAAUAAUCACUACAUAAUUUGAAGCUUUAUUCCAUUUAAAUCCAACCGAGGUUAACAUCACCUUAUUUGCUUGUGUUUUUUUGUUGUGCCAGCCACUCAAAGACAAUAGUGAGACACACAGUGAGUGACAGUCUGUGCCCCAGGCUCACCCCUUCUGUUAUGUCUCUCCCAAAGAGCAGCUGGGGCGCUGGGGACCUGUCAUAUAGACAGCCAUCUCACAAACAGGGGCCCGGGCCCUCCGUGGAGACGGACACAUCAACAACCAAAGAGGGCAGACGAGGAGCCGACACCGACUGCCUGCGUCUGUCAUCUUAACUCCAGGAGGCCAACGACGGGGUGCAUCACUGAGACUUCCACAUCUGUGGACAACCACGUUUAGGAUUACACUUAUUUAGCUCUGCUGAAAACUGUCCUCGAGAGUGAACUACACCCAAAAACCAGUCUGUAUUUAAACACAAAACAGCUGCUCAUCAUCUCAACUAUUGGUAACGCGGGUGGGGAAUCUGUCGCAGUCGGCAAAAAAUAAAAUAAAGAAAUUC